Molecule: ribosomal RNA, 264 nt
Filed under: uncultured archaeon
Lineage: Archaea
Description: partial 16S ribosomal RNA
Rfam family: Archaeal small subunit ribosomal RNA
Source: RNAcentral
AGACGUCUACAUUAGAUACCCCCGUAGUCCCAGCCGUAAACUAUGCGCGUUAGGUGUAUCGGUGACCACGAGUUACCGGGGUGCCGAAGGGAAACCGUGAAACGUGCCGCCUGGGAAGUACGGUCGCAAGGCUGAAACUUAAAGGAAUUGGCGGGGAGCACCACAACGGGUGGAGCCUGCGGUUUAAUUGGACUCAACGCCGGGAAGCUCACCGGAUAAGACAGCGGAAUGAUUGCCGGGCUGAAGACUCUGCAUGACUAGCUG